Molecule: long non-coding RNA, 1201 nt
Organism: Eriocheir sinensis (Chinese mitten crab)
Lineage: Eukaryota; Metazoa; Arthropoda; Malacostraca; Decapoda; Varunidae
Exons: 2
Source: RefSeq, a predicted model, not a curated record
AGAAACAUGGCUUGAACUGACUUGUGUUUUUCUAAGGCAGAGCUUAUAACGUGGGUGGCAGGUGUUAUUUUUUACGGUUAAGGAAGCAGCUCAAGGGCAAACAUUAAUAAAUACAAAAUAACCCCACUUCUAUUAACAUUAAUGGAUUAACAUGAACCUCCGUAAAAUGAAAAUAUAAAGAUAAAAAUGGUUCAUAGAGGGCUCAUAGGGGACUAACUCUUGUUGUUCUGAGGCAGAGCUUGUAACAUGGGUGGAAGUCAUUGUAUCUGAAGGUAUAAUUGAUGGGUCAAAUGUCAAAUGAAAUAGAUAAAAAAUAGCUCACAGAAGAUUCAAAGGGAACAUGGUCUGGCUAACUCAUAUUAUUCCAUUGUCAUUGUAUCUGAUAACUAAGGUGUAUAAGCUACUCAUCAAACAUAAACAAAAGAUAUUAGUACUCGCAGUAGUUAACAGUCUUAUCAAACCGAAUUUUCAUUGUUUUAGUGGUUAAAAAAUCAUUAAUCAAAUAGCAAUGAAAUAACAUAGAAAAACUCAACAAGAUCUAUGAGAAGUGUUCGGUUCGUCACCAUCGUCGGCCUGUACCAUUCCACCGCAGGACACACUAAGGCCUCUCCAGAGCAUGUCCAAUCAUUCCCGUCUUUCGCCUCGAGUUCCCGGUUUCGACAUUAGCAUUCCACUUUCUUUUAUCCCUCCGUUUAAUGAGUGGGUUUCCUUCCCUUCAAUCUGUUCAUGCUUUGAUCAAUCUGAUAUUUCCCCAGUUGAAGGUUUACCGUAGCUCCUGUAUGUACUCCGAUCAAUUUUUCAAGAGUAGAUUUUCCUUGUAUUUCCAUUCCACUCUCUUAUUUCUCUCUCUCCAUCGGGCGAGUGGCUUUCCUUCCCUUCAAUCUGUUCAUGCUUUGAUUAAUCUGAUAUUUCCCAAGUUGAAGGUUUACCGUAGCUCCCGUAUGUACUCCGAUCAAUUUUUCAAGAGUAGAUUUUCCUUGUAUUUCCAUUCCACUUUCUUAUUUCUCUCUCUCCAUCGGGCGAGUGGCUUUCCUUCCCUUCAAUCUGUGCAUACUUUGAUGACCCUGAUAUUUACUGUACCUCCUGUAAGCUCUGAUCAGUUUUUCAAGAAUGGUUUUUCCUUAUAUUUCAGACAUUCAGAGGUGAAGGGAUGGGUGGGACAGAGCCAUUUUGAUUUAGUCUGCACUGGGAGAGGCAGACU